UACGGAGGGGGCAAGCGUUGUCCGGAUUUAUUGGGUUUAAAGGGUGCGUAGGCGGGAUAUUAAGUCAGUGGUGAAAGCCUUCAGCUCAACUGAAGGACUGCCAAUGAUACUGGUAUUCUGGAGUACAGACGAGGUAGGCGGAAUUUAUGGUGUAGCGGUGAAAUGCAUAGAUACCAUAAAGAACACCGAUAGCGAAGGCAGCUUACCAGGCUGUAACUGACGCUGAGGCACGAAAGCGUGGGGAGCGAACAGG
RNAcentral lists this ribosomal RNA (253 nucleotides) under uncultured bacterium. RNAcentral describes it as "partial 16S ribosomal RNA". It matches the Rfam family "Bacterial small subunit ribosomal RNA", at positions 524 to 776 of the family's 1533-position model. The record is from RNAcentral.